RNAcentral lists this ribosomal RNA (465 nucleotides) under Vreelandella stevensii. RNAcentral's name for it is "partial 16S ribosomal RNA". It matches the Rfam family "Bacterial small subunit ribosomal RNA", at positions 338 to 795 of the family's 1533-position model. Lineage: Bacteria; Pseudomonadati; Pseudomonadota; Gammaproteobacteria; Oceanospirillales; Halomonadaceae. The record is from RNAcentral.
CCUACGGCGUGCUGCAGUGGGGAAUAUUGGACAAUGGGCGAAAGCCUGAUCCAGCCAUGCCGCGUGUGUGAAGAAGGCCUUCGGGUUGUAAAGCACUUUCAGUGGGGAAGAAAGCCUUGGGGCUAAUACCCUCGAGGAAGGACAUCACCCACAGAAGAAGCACCGGCUAACUCCGUGCCAGCAGCCGCGGUAAUACGGAGGGUGCGAGCGUUAAUCGGAAUUACUGGGCGUAAAGCGCGCGUAGGCGGUCUGAUAAGCCGGUUGUGAAAGCCCCGGGCUCAACCUGGGAACGGCAUCCGGAACUGUCAGGCUAGAGUGCAGGAGAGGAAGGUAGAAUUCCCGGUGUAGCGGUGAAAUGCGUAGAGAUCGGGAGGAAUACCAGUGGCGAAGGCGGCCUUCUGGACUGACACUGACGCUGAGGUGCGAAAGCGUGGGUAGCAAACAGGAUUAGACACCCUAGUAGUC